This 253-nucleotide ribosomal RNA is filed under the name uncultured bacterium. Its description in RNAcentral is "partial 16S ribosomal RNA". It matches the Rfam family "Bacterial small subunit ribosomal RNA", at positions 524 to 776 of the family's 1533-position model. The record is from RNAcentral.
UACGGAGGGUGCAAGCGUUAUCCGGAUUUACUGGGUUUAAAGGGUGCGUAGGUGGGCGAGAAAGUCAGUGGUGAAAUCUCCGGGCUUAACCCGGAAACUGCCAUUGAUACUAUUUAUCUUGAAUACUUUGGAGGUAAGCGGAAUAUGUCAUGUAGCGGUGAAAUGCUUAGAUAUGACAUAGAACACCAAUUGCGAAGGCAGCUUACUACACAGUUAUUGACACUGAGGCACGAAAGCGUGGGGAUCAAACAGG